CCACCUAUAGCUCAGUUGGUAGAGCGUGCGGCUGUAAUUGUUCGAUUGUCCACCGCAAGGUCACCGGCUCGAAUCCGGUUGGGUGGA
Molecule: transfer RNA, 87 nt
Organism: Serendipita vermifera MAFF 305830
Lineage: Eukaryota; Fungi; Basidiomycota; Agaricomycetes; Sebacinales; Serendipitaceae
Rfam family: tRNA
About the family: Transfer RNA (tRNA) molecules are approximately 80 nucleotides in length. Their secondary structure includes four short double-helical elements and three loops (D, anti-codon, and T loops).
Source: Rfam